UAGCUUAACUCCUUCUGGUCGGGUCGGAAUCCUCCAAUGACUCCGUGUAUGUCCAAAUCGGGCAAGCUGGGAAUCACCCGACUUGUAAAUUGAAUAACUCGUUCGUGUGAACUCCUUUUGGGAUGAUUCUUCUUCGAGGUGCUCGGUAUUUGAGAUGAGAAUGUAUUCCAAGUAUUCUCUGGGACGGAGGAAAUGAUCUUGGACUUCGUCUGGACUGAACAAGGCUCAGGGGUCUUCUCGGGUAGGCUGAAUCUGGUUUGGCCCGAAGUUUUAGAUAAAACUUGGUUAAAAAUCCCACUUGGCUGCUCCUGGAUUGUUGUUUCUCGCCCAUAAUCUUCUCCAUGGUUG
RNAcentral lists this long non-coding RNA (348 nucleotides) under Arabidopsis lyrata. Its description in RNAcentral is "long non-coding RNA (ALYR_LNC003427)". Lineage: Eukaryota; Viridiplantae; Streptophyta; Magnoliopsida; Brassicales; Brassicaceae. The record is from RNAcentral.